GCCAAUCUAUUUGUCUCAAUCUAUAGAUUUUAAUAUCUUCAAAUAUUUGUAUGAUAUUAAAAUCAAAUGGAGUGAUAAAGAAAACCUCGAAUCGCUGUGAAUGCAUUACACAAGAAAAAGAUCUGGCCGUCUAUGCAGUGUCCGUACGAAAAUAGCAAUUAAAGUAGUAAGGGAAAGAAUUUGAAGAAAUUAUGUCAGAAAGAAAAAAACUCUAUUUCGCGAGAUGAAGAUACUUGUAGCUUCUAGAAUAAUAUCGCGUAUUUAAAAUAGAUGACUCAGGACUGGCACCCUAUUACCCAGAUGCACUGGGCAUCACUGAAAUGAUAAUUUUAUAAAGAAUAUUAAAUAAAAAAAACUACUUAAACGCAAAGGGAGGUCAUAGAAAUUAUUUGUUACGGUAUCAAAACAUCGGCAAAGCAUAUCAAGAAACCAUUCUUGAGAAUGGUGGUUAAGGCUCUGAACAACCCAAUGUUCCAUAACCAAGAAUGGUCCUUUCAGCAAGACACAGAGCCAGGUCAUUAAGUUCGAACCGAGUUGUUCCGAAAUUCAUCAAAGCUGAAGGCUGGCUGUCAUCUAGUACCGAUCUUAAUCCUCUGGAUUAUAAUUUAAGGUUAUAACAAUUUGGAGUUGCUAAAGUUAUCCAUAAGAUUGUCGUUAACGAAUUUGCCCAUGGAAAGAGUGCGUGCUUCUAUUGAUAACUGGAUCAAUGUUUAAAGAACUAUAUUGCAGCCAAUGUAGAUCAUUUAUAUAUUUUAAACGUUUUUAUAUCAAACUAACACAUAUUACAGUUAUAAAUGUUGCAUGCAAUACAAAAAAAUAAAGAUUUUGUAACAAUAUUUAUGGCACAAAUAGGUAGGCCGUUGCCUAAAUGGUAAACGUUGUUACCAGUUACUGAUCUGAUGGAUCGUCACGCUGUUUGUCAUUCUAGUUAUAACAAAAAUAUAUAUAGUUAUACAGAUUAAUAUCAUGCAUUGUAUUUCUUAAUAAUAAAUAACAUUUUAUUUAUUUUUAAAUCUAUACAAUUUGUAUCAACAUUAUUUAAAUACAACAUAACGCCAGAAACCCUUUUUAUACCACUUAUGGCCAAAAUAUUUCGUUAACGAAACGAAGCUUUUAUAAAUAACGUAAAUGCUUUGGCCGGGUGUGUAACCAUAUGAAAUGUGCACCAGAAUGUCCAUUGAAGCAGUUUUACCUUGUUUUCAUAGUUCCUUCUUCAGAACAACACACGAUUAGUUUCAUAUCCCUAAUCCCUAUAAUAAGGAAGUAAAGGGAUGAUAAUCCCUAACCAAAACAUCUUGUUAACAGAGUAUAAUUCCUUCAAUAGACAUUGAUGCAGAUUUCAUAUGCUUAACCGGUCAUACCCUUUUCUAUAACAAUAGUGGAUUUCCUAUUUUGACAACUAUCCUAUCAGAUGCGUAGAGCAGAUUUUUUAAUAAAUUUAAUAUCGACAUAAA
Long non-coding RNA from Achroia grisella, 1454 nucleotides. RefSeq lists it as uncharacterized. The record is from RefSeq and is a predicted model, not a curated record. NCBI's taxonomy places the organism in Eukaryota, Metazoa, Arthropoda, Insecta, Lepidoptera, Pyralidae. The transcript is spliced from 3 exons.